Molecule: transfer RNA, 82 nt
Filed under: Myxococcales bacterium
Lineage: Bacteria; Pseudomonadati; Myxococcota; Myxococcia; Myxococcales
Description: tRNA-Leu
Rfam family: tRNA
About the family: Transfer RNA (tRNA) molecules are approximately 80 nucleotides in length. Their secondary structure includes four short double-helical elements and three loops (D, anti-codon, and T loops).
Source: RNAcentral
GCGAGGGUGGCGGAAUUGGUAGACGCACUGGAUUUAGGUUCCAGCGGGGAGACCCGUGCGGGUUCGAGUCCCGCCUCUCGCA